RNAcentral lists this ribosomal RNA (869 nucleotides) under Acremonium guillematii. RNAcentral's name for it is "LSU rRNA". It matches the Rfam family "Eukaryotic large subunit ribosomal RNA", at positions 33 to 930 of the family's 3401-position model. Lineage: Eukaryota; Fungi; Ascomycota; Sordariomycetes; Hypocreales; Bionectriaceae. The record is from RNAcentral.
CUUAAGCAUAUCAAUAAGCGGAGGAAAAGAGAACCAACAGGGGAUUGCCCCCAGUAACGGCGAGUGAAGCGGCAACAGCUCAACUAUUGAAAUCUGGCCCCCGCGGGUCCGAGUUGUAAUUUGCAGAGGAUGCUUUUGGUGCGGCGCCUUCCGAGUUCCCUGGAACGGGACGCCAUAGAGGGUGAGAGCCCCGUCCGGUCGGAUGCCUAGCCUCUGUAAAGCUCCUUCGACGAGUCGAGUAGUUUGGCAAUGCUGCUCAAAAUGGGAGGUAUAUGUCUUCUAAAGCUAAAUACCGGCCAGAGACCGAUAGCGCACAAGUAGAGUGAUCGAAAGAUGAAAAGCACUUUGAAAAGAGGGUUAAAUAGUACGUGAAAUUGUUGAAAGGGAAGCGCUCAUGACCAGACUUGGGCGUGGUGAAUCACCCGGCGUUCUCGCCGGUGCACUUUGCCUGUCCAGGCCAGCAUCAGCUCGCCUCGGGGGAUAAAGGCUUCGGGAAUGUGGCUCCCUCGGGAGUGUUAUAGACCGUUGCGCAAUACCCUGGGGUGGGCUGAGGUACGCGCUCCGCAAGGAUGCUGGCGUAAUGGUCAUCAGCGACCCGUCUUGAAACACGGACCAAGGAGUCGUCUUCGUAUGCGAGUGUUCGGGUGUCAAACCCCUACGCGUAAUGAAAGUGAACGCAGGUGAGAGCUUCGGCGCAUCAUCGACCGAUCCUGAUGUUCUCGGAUGGAUUUGAGUAAGAGCAUACGGGGCCGGACCCGAAAGAAGGUGAACUAUGCCUGUAUAGGGUGAAGCCAGAGGUCUCUCUGGUGGAGGCUCGCAGCGGUUCUGACGUGCAAAUCGAUCGUCAAAUAUGGGCAUGGGGCGAAAGA